GCCUGGGCGGCUCAGUCGGUUGAGCACCCGACUUCGGCUCAGGUCAUGAUUCACAGUUUGUGGGUUCAAGCCCCACAUCAGGCU
RNAcentral lists this transfer RNA (84 nucleotides) under Felis catus (domestic cat). It matches the Rfam family "tRNA". From Rfam's summary of the family: Transfer RNA (tRNA) molecules are approximately 80 nucleotides in length. Their secondary structure includes four short double-helical elements and three loops (D, anti-codon, and T loops). The record is from Rfam by way of RNAcentral. Lineage: Eukaryota; Metazoa; Chordata; Mammalia; Carnivora; Felidae.